AAUAAUGUGCAUCACUUUUAGUGGCACAAAUUUUAAUAAAUGUUAGGUAAUUGUAUUAUGAGUGGAGAAAUAAAUCCACUUUAUUGUAGUAUUAUUGAUAUAUUAACUUAUUAUAUAUUUUUCUAUAAAAAGAUAAUACUAUAAAAUAUGGCAUACCUUUUUUGUUCCACAUAAUUAAUCGCUAUUUGGUUUUUACUCAUAUUAAGAAAACUGAAAACUAGUACCGCUAUCUUGUGCGAUGCACUAGUGUUGGUCUAGUGGUAGGUGGUUAAUAUCCAAUGCUUGAGGUUUAGGGUUCGAGUCCACCGUUGUUCGGUGUUUAAAUUUCUUUAUUUAUUUAUGUAAUUUAUCAAAAAAUAAAAAUAAUUAAACUUAAAUUAUAUACUCCAUCCGUGUCACCACACUUGCUAUGUUUUUUAAACAAAAUUAUUUUCUUAAUUCUUAAACAAAAAGAAUAAGAGGAAGAAUUAAGAAAAUAAUUUUGUUUAAAACUUCUAACUACUGCUAUAGCUUUUUAAUCUUAAAUUCAUCUUUUAUACUCCAUAAUAUAUAUCAAAUUGAAGCUAUUGUCAUAAUAUUUAAUUUGAUAUGUAUAUUAAAUAUUUAAUUAUGUAUUAGUUGAAUUAUUAUAUUUGAAAAGCAAAAAGAGAAAAAAAAGAAGAAGAAGAAAAAGAAAAAAUAAUGUAAUACUGAGUGUGAAUUGUGGAAGAAAAAUAUGCAUUUUGGAGUAGCAAAAAAUCACUUUUUCUCUAAUUACACUAAAAAGUAUCCAUUAAAAACGUCAUUUUUAUAUAUUACGUGUAUAUAUAUAUAUAUAUAUAUAUAUCAAAUUUUUGCAAUGAACAAAAGAAAUUAUAACUUAAAAAACAAAAGAAAAUAAAGCUACUUAAAUAAAAUCAAAAUAUAAAAGGAAAUAUAAAAAAUAAAAUAAACCAAAAUAUAAAAUAUAAUACCCGAAAUUAAUAAGAGAAGGAGAAUAAAAAAAUUAGUUUGAGUCUUCAGAACAUUAUAUUAUGUUAAAUCUAUUUGAAUAUGACAUAUAUCAAAUUAAAGAUCUCAAUCUUUGAUUUGAUAUCAUAUUGAAUAUUUUAUCAAACUACACAAUUUUUAGAAAGAAAAAGAAAAAAAAAAACAAUAAAAAAAUAAAAAUAAUAAUAAUAAAGUAGAGUAGAAAUAGAAUGGAGUGGAAUGAAAACUGAAGUGCAUGCAUGCUUAAAACUAGCUUCUCAUAUAUUAUAUAGAUUCAUUUAAUUUUCUAUGAAAUAUGAAAUUGUUUUAUUUUCUUUUUAUUUAUUGUUCUACGCCUUAUUUUUACAAACAUUGAAUAAGGUUAUAUUAGCAAAAUAAUACCCCCGUCCACAAAAGAUAAUCCUAUUAAAGAACGUCACAAGUUUUAAUAAAAAUAAUUAUUGUAUUAUGGAGAAAAGGUCCCAUUUAAAAUGUAGUGUUUAUAACAAUAAUUAAUUGUAUUGUGAGUGCAGAAUAGAACCCACUAUAUGAUUGAUAGUUUUUAAAAAUAGAAAAGGAUUAAUUUUUGUUGACAUCUUAAAAUGCCAAAAGUGGAAUAAUU
This 1570-nucleotide long non-coding RNA is filed under the name Salvia miltiorrhiza (redroot sage). RNAcentral describes it as "long non-coding RNA (SMIL_LNC001042)". Lineage: Eukaryota; Viridiplantae; Streptophyta; Magnoliopsida; Lamiales; Lamiaceae. The record is from RNAcentral.